RNAcentral lists this ribosomal RNA (648 nucleotides) under Triticum aestivum (bread wheat). RNAcentral's name for it is "partial small subunit ribosomal RNA". The record is from RNAcentral. Lineage: Eukaryota; Viridiplantae; Streptophyta; Magnoliopsida; Poales; Poaceae.
AUGGUCUCGUCUCAUUUCCACGUUCUUUGUUUCGAGUACAAGUUUCCAGGAGCUUACAUCGCCGGAGUGAACAUCUACUCGUCACGGACAGGAGCUUGGAGUCGCAGGGAUAGUGGGAUGGUCGAAAAAGUUAUCCUGUGUAGUAAAUGUGUCUAUGUCGGUGGUAUGCUAUACCUGAUAGGCAACCUGAAGCACAUCAACGGCGAGUAUGUGCUGGUCGGUGUGGACAUGGAGGGGAAAGUGUGGAAAACUAUCCGCGUGCCGUAUGGUCGAAGCUUUGGUACGAUUGGGGUGUCGCAGGGGUGCCUACACUAUGCUAUAGCUUCUGUCGAUGAUAACAAUAAAAUCCUGGUUUCUGAGAUAGCGCUCUGGUGCCUCAAAGAUCAUGACAGUAAAGAAUUGGUCCUGAAGCACACUGCCAGCCUCAAUAAGCUUAUGAGCAUGACGGGGCUGGUGUACCAGGUGGCUGAGAUUCAUCCAGAUUGCGACACCAUUUUCCUGGUUCAGUUUGGAGGUGAUACCUUGGUAUCAUAUGAUAUGCGGCAUCAGAAAGUUGGUUCUAUCCUUAAUCUUAAGAAAGACAGUAUACACAAAUUUCUACCUUAUGUUCCUCUGUUCUCAGAGUCAUUAGCAGAUGCUGAUGGGUAG